UAGCUUACAACAGACAUUGAUCCGGCCACAUUUCCAGCCACUACAGUCAAUGAGUCUCACAAUGCCACGGCAUUACUACCAGCAAGCACCAGCAAUGAAUCCUUAUCAAUAUGCAGGUACUGGUGGUAGCUUACAACAGACAUUGAUCCGGCCACAUUUCCAGCCACUACAGUCAAUGAGUCUCACAAUGCCACGGCAUUACUACCAGCAAGCACCAGCAAUGAAUCCUUAUCAAUAUGCAGGUACUGGUGGUAGCUUACAACAGACAUUGAUCCGGCCACAUUUCCAGCCACUACAGUCAAUGAGUCUCACAAUGCCACGGCAUUACUACCACCAAGCACCAGCU
This is a long non-coding RNA of Strongylocentrotus purpuratus (purple sea urchin), 346 nucleotides long. RefSeq lists it as uncharacterized. NCBI's taxonomy places the organism in Eukaryota, Metazoa, Echinodermata, Echinoidea, Camarodonta, Strongylocentrotidae. The transcript is spliced from 3 exons. The record is from RefSeq and is a predicted model, not a curated record.